AUACCCGCUGAACUUAAGCAUUUCAAUAAGGGGAGGAAAAGAAACCUACAGGGAUUGCCUCAGUAACGGCGAGUGAAGCGGCAAAAGCUCAAAUUUGAAAUCUGGCCCCUUCGGGGUCCGAGUUGUAAUUUGUAGAGGAGAUUUCGGGCGCGGCGCCGGUCUAAGUCCCUUGGAACAGGGCGUCAUAGAGGGUGAGAAUCCCGUAUGUGACUGGCGACCAACCCCAUGUGAAACCCCUUCGACGAGUCGAGUUGUUUGGGAAUGCAGCUCAAAAUGGGAGGUAAAUUUCUUCUAAAGCUAAAUACCGGCCAGAGACCGAUAGCGCACAAGUAGAGUGAUCGAAAGAUGAAAAGCACUUUGGAAAGAGAGUCAAACAGUACGUGAAAUUGUUGAAAGGGAAGCGCUUGCAACCAGACCUGUCCGUGGGCGAUCAACCUCUGUUCUCAGGGGUGCACUCGUCCACGAUCAGGCCAGCAUCGGUUUGGGCGGUUGGAUAAAGGCCUUGGGAACGUAACUCCCCUCGGGGAGUGUUAUAGCCCUCGGCGCCAUGCGGCCAGCCCGGACCGAGGACCGCGCUUCGGCUAGGAUGCUGGCGUAAUGGUUGUAAGCGACCCGUCUUGAAACACGGACCAAGGAGUUGACUAUCGAUGCGAGUGUUUGGGUGUCAAACCCAUACGCGUAAUGAAAGUGAACGGAGGUGAGAACCCUUAAGGGCGCAUCAUCGACCGAUCCAGAUGUCUUCGGAUGGAUUUGAGUACGAGCAUCGCUAGUCUGACCCGAAAGAUGGUGAUCUAUACUUGAAUAGGGUGAAGCCAGAGGAAACUCUGGUGGAGGCUCGCAGCGGUUCUGACGUGCAAAUCGAUCGUCAAAUUUGAGUAUAGGGGUAAGUCCCCCUUAUUUCCUCCCCUGUAACCUUUGACUACUGUGAUASCASCUAACUGAAUUCUAGGCGAAAGACUAAUCGAACCAUCUAGUAACUGGUU
Molecule: ribosomal RNA, 983 nt
Filed under: Lecanora poliophaea
Lineage: Eukaryota; Fungi; Ascomycota; Lecanoromycetes; Lecanorales; Lecanoraceae
Description: LSU rRNA
Rfam family: Eukaryotic large subunit ribosomal RNA
Source: RNAcentral